Molecule: small nucleolar RNA, 137 nt
Organism: Cavia aperea (Brazilian guinea pig)
Lineage: Eukaryota; Metazoa; Chordata; Mammalia; Rodentia; Caviidae
Source: Ensembl
CUGGCCCUGAAUCAAGGCCGGCAGCUUCCUGACGCUGUUGGUUUCAAGCAGGAGCCUAAAGAGAUGUCUUUCUAUGGUCUGCUGGCCAUUUCAGAACUUGAGCAGUAAAAUGGCCAAUUCAUUAGACAGAAACAGCU